CCUACGGGCGGCAGCAGUGAGGAAUAUUGGGCAAUGGACGAGAGUCUGAACCAGCCAAGUAGCGUGAAGGAUGACUGCCCUAUGGGUUGUAAACUUCUUUUAUAUGGGAAUAAAAUGUUCCACGUGUGUGAUUUUGUAUGUACCAUAUGAAUAAGGAUCGGCUAACUCCGUGCCAGCAGCCGCGGUAAUACGGAGGAUCCGAGCGUUAUCCGGAUUUAUUGGGUUUAAAGGGAGCGUAGGUGGAUUGUUAAGUCAGUUGUGAAAGUUUGCGGCUCAACCGUAAAAUUGCAGUUGAAACUGGCAGUCUUGAGUACAGUAGAGGUGGGCGGAAUUCGUGGUGUAGCGGUGAAAUGCUUAGAUAUCACGAAGAACUCCGAUUGCGAAGGCAGUUCACUGGACUGCAACUGACACUGAGGCUCGAAAGUGUGGGUAUCAAACAGGAUUAGAUACCCGGGUAGUC
This 460-nucleotide ribosomal RNA is filed under the name uncultured bacterium. Its description in RNAcentral is "partial 16S ribosomal RNA". It matches the Rfam family "Bacterial small subunit ribosomal RNA", at positions 338 to 795 of the family's 1533-position model. The record is from RNAcentral.